Oreochromis niloticus (Nile tilapia) is the source of this 445-nucleotide long non-coding RNA. RefSeq lists it as uncharacterized. The record is from RefSeq and is a predicted model, not a curated record. The transcript has 3 exons. NCBI's taxonomy places the organism in Eukaryota, Metazoa, Chordata, Actinopteri, Cichliformes, Cichlidae.
AUUUCAGAAGCAGCUGGCGCUCCAGACAGAAAGCAGAAUGAUUAUUUUAGCCUUUGUGGGACAGAGGUCACUCAAACCCAGGCCAACUGUGGUCACCUGUGCAACCAGCAUACAUGACAGGAUCAGGAUAUUCGGUGUAUGGCAGCUCAUCUCUGAGAGUGGCCAAGCAAUGACACCACUGUUAAACCUGCAAUCCAAAGGUUAGAAAAAAAAUAAUAAACCGUUUUAAAAAAAAAUGAAAUAUGUGGUCACAGUUAAAAGGUUUGCCAAUGAAAUAGCAGCUCACAUGUCCAGCUUACCUUAGCAUAAAAAGCAAAAAUAAAACAACUUGACUCCCAACAGGCGGCAUGAGGACCUGGGACUGUUGUGGAGGCCCUUUCUAAUAAGGUUGCGGCCCUCCAUGACAGUCCCAACUCCUCAUGUGGCCCUUUAGGGAAAACUAAUC